Molecule: unclassified non-coding RNA, 728 nt
Filed under: Hevea brasiliensis (rubber tree)
Lineage: Eukaryota; Viridiplantae; Streptophyta; Magnoliopsida; Malpighiales; Euphorbiaceae
Source: RNAcentral
GUGUCGAACAAAGAAAAGCAGUGCAUAGGCCAAAGGGUAGCAAGAGAGCACCAAAGUCCCCUGAACAAAGAAGAAAAAUUGCUGAAUCCAUUGCUGCCAAAUGGGCUGAUCCUGCAUACCGAGAACGAGUUUGCUNNNNNUUGCUAAAUAUCAUGGCAUACCAGCUGGAGCUGAAAGGAAGCCAAGGCGAAGGCCAAGUACACAAUCCAAGAAACAGGACCCAACAAAGAAAAAAACUAGGGAUACCAACAACUUGUCUGGAAGUGACACUACAAGCCCAAUUCAGCAACUAAGGUCGCAGAGAAGUAAGACACCAUUGUACAACGAUCCUUUGGCAGGUUCAAAGUUGGAGAUGAUAAAGAACAUCAGAGCACAAAGAGCUGCCACAGAAACCAAGAAAACUGAAGCCAUUGAACGAGCAAGGUUGUUAAUAGCUGAAGCUGAGAAGGCUGCUAAGGCCCUUGAGGUUGCUGCAACAAAGAGCCCUGUUGCUCAAGCCUCCCUCCUGGAAUCUAGAAAGCUUAUAACUGAAGCAAUUCAGUCACUUGAAUCCAUAGAAACUGUGCAUAUCACAUCUAGUAAGAAUGACUUGGACCCUUCUCUUGGCCCAACUGAACGGGUUAGCCAGGUUGAGAUGGGAACGGACAUGGGAAAUGGAAGCUCUAAUCAAGCAGAGUCAAAAGAAGUAAAUGGGACCAAAAUCCUUGCAUCAAGUAAAUAUGAGGACC